UUUUUGAAAAUAAUAUAAAGUCUAACCUGCCCACUGAUUUUAUUAAAGGGCCGCGGUAUAUUGACUGUGCAAAGGUAGCAUAAUCAUUUGUCUUUUAAUUGAAGGCUAGAAUGAAUGGUUGAAUGAAGUAUUAACUGUCUCAUUUUAAAAAUUUAAAAAUUUAAUUUUUUAGUUAAAAAGCUAAAAUAUUUUUAGAGGACGAGAAGACCCUAUAGAUCUUUAUAAUUUAAUUUAAUUAAAAUUUAGUUUAAUAUAAUUUAUUUAAAUAAAAAUUAUUUUAUUGGGGUGAUAGGAAAAUUUAAUUAACUUUUUUUAUUUUAAAACAUUGAUAUAUGAAUAUUUGAUCCUUUAUUAAAGAUUAUAAAUUUAAGUUACCUUAGGGAUAACAGCGUAAUUUUUUUAGAGAGUUCAUAUCGAUAAAAAAGAUUGCGACCUCGAUGUUGAAUUAAAGGUUAUUUUUAAAUGUAGAAGUUUAAAGUUUAAGUCUGUUCGACUUUUGAAUCUUU
This 506-nucleotide ribosomal RNA is filed under the name Mantispa styriaca. Its description in RNAcentral is "partial 16S ribosomal RNA". It matches the Rfam family "Bacterial large subunit ribosomal RNA", at positions 1830 to 2597 of the family's 2925-position model. Lineage: Eukaryota; Metazoa; Arthropoda; Insecta; Neuroptera; Mantispidae. The record is from RNAcentral.